Non-coding RNA from Glycine soja, 127 nucleotides. The record is from Rfam. NCBI's taxonomy places the organism in Eukaryota, Viridiplantae, Streptophyta, Magnoliopsida, Fabales, Fabaceae.
ACAGAUUUAAACGUUGACUGUCACGUGUCACGUUUUGAUUGGACAUGAAAAUGUGCGCCUAAGAACCAACUCUAAUAUUUAUCUGUUCAUCGUCCAAUCAGAAUGUGACACGUGGCAGUCAACGUUU